CUACGGGCUGCUGCAGCUAAGAAUCUUCCGCAAUGGACGAAAGUCUGACGGAGCGACGCCGCGUGAACGAUGAAGGCCGUGAGGUUGUAAAGUUCUUUUCGGGAGGAGGAAUAAGGUUUGUAGGAAAUGACAGACUGAUGACGUUAAUCCCGGAAUAAGCCCCGGCUAACUACGUGCCAGCAGCCGCGGUAACACGUAGGGGGCAAGCGUUGUUCGGAAUCAUUGGGCGUAAAGGGCGUGCAGGCGGUGUUGCAAGUCUGGCGUGAAAGAUCUCGGCUUAACCGAGGGAACGCGCUGGAAACUGUAAUACUAGAGUACAGGAGGGGACAUUGGAAUUCCAGGUGUAGGGGUGAAAUCUGUAGAUAUCUGGAAGAACACCGGUGGCGAAGGCGAAUGUCUGGCCAUGUACUGACGCUGAGACGCGAAGGUGCGGGGAGCAAACAGGAUUAGAUACCCUGGUAGUC
This 464-nucleotide ribosomal RNA is filed under the name uncultured bacterium. Its description in RNAcentral is "partial 16S ribosomal RNA". It matches the Rfam family "Bacterial small subunit ribosomal RNA", at positions 339 to 795 of the family's 1533-position model. The record is from RNAcentral.